CGCAAGCUGAAACUAAAGGAAUUGACGGGGGCCCGCACAAGCGGUGGAACAUGUGGUUCAAUUCGACGCAACGGAAGAACCUUACCUGGGCUUGAACCGCUACUGACCAGUGGUGGAAACAUCGCCUUCUCGAAGAGACAGUAGUAGAGGUGCUGCAUGGCUGUCGUCAGCUCGUGCCGUGAGGUGUUGGGUAAGUCCCGCAACGAGCGCAACCCUUACUCUUAGUUGCCACCCGCAAGGGGGAACUCUAGAGGACUGCUCCGGAUAACGGAGAGGAAGGUGGGGAUGACGUCAAGUCAGCACGGCCUUAUGUCCAGGGCUACACACGUGUUACAAUGCACGGUACAGACUGUUGCGAACCCGCGAGGAGAGCUAAUCGGAAAAACCGUGCUCAGUUCGGAUUGCAGUCUGCAACUCGACUGCAUGAGCUGGAAUCGCUAGUAAUGGCGUAUCAGAACGACGCCGUGAAUACGUUCCCGGGCCUUGACACACCGCCCGUCACAUCACGAAAGUGGGCUGUACUAGAAGUCGCCAUGCUAACCGCAGGAAGCCAGCGCCCAAGGUAUGGCUCAUGAUUGGGGUG
This 583-nucleotide ribosomal RNA is filed under the name uncultured Lake Michigan sediment bacterium LMBA13. RNAcentral describes it as "bacterial SSU rRNA". It matches the Rfam family "Bacterial small subunit ribosomal RNA", at positions 887 to 1482 of the family's 1533-position model. Lineage: Bacteria; Pseudomonadati; Acidobacteriota. The record is from RNAcentral.